Molecule: ribosomal RNA, 253 nt
Filed under: uncultured bacterium
Lineage: Bacteria
Description: partial 16S ribosomal RNA
Rfam family: Bacterial small subunit ribosomal RNA
Source: RNAcentral
UACGUAGGUGGCGAGCGUUGUCCGGAAUUACUGGGCGUAAAGAGCGCGUAGGCGGUUUUUUAAGUCAGAUGUGAAAAUCCAGGGCUUAACUCUGGGCGUGCAUUUGAAACUGGGGAACUAGAGUGCAGGAGAGGUAAGUGGAAUUCCUAGUGUAGCGGUGAAAUGCGUAGAUAUUAGGAGGAACACCAGUGGCGAAGGCGACUUACUGGACUGUAACUGACGCUGAGGCGCGAAAGCGUGGGUAGCGAACAGG